GACGAACGCUGGCGGCGUGCCUAAUACAUGCAAGUUGAGCGCUGAAGGUUGGUACUUGUACCAACUGGAUGAGCAGCGAACGGGUGAGUAACGCGUGGGGAAUCUGCCUUUGAGCGGGGGACAACAUUUGGAAACGAAUGCUAAUACCGCAUAAAAACUUUAAACACAAGUUUUAAGUUUGAAAGAUGCAAUUGCAUCACUCAAAGAUGAUCCCGCGUUGUAUUAGCUAGUUGGUGAGGUAAAGGCUCACCAAGGCGAUGAUACAUAGCCGACCUGAGAGGGUGAUCGGCCACAUUGGGACUGAGACACGGCCCAAACUCCUACGGGAGGCAGCAGUAGGGAAUCUUCGGCAAUGGACGAAAGUCUGACCGAGCAACGCCGCGUGAGUGAAGAAGGGUUUCGGAUCGUAAAACUCUGUUGGCAGAGAAGAACGUUGGUGAGAGUGGAAAGCUCAUCAAGUGACGGUAACUACCCAGAAAGGGACGGCUAACUACGUG
Molecule: ribosomal RNA, 497 nt
Filed under: uncultured bacterium
Lineage: Bacteria
Description: partial 16S ribosomal RNA
Rfam family: Bacterial small subunit ribosomal RNA
Source: RNAcentral